UACGAAGGGGGCUAGCGUUGCUCGGAAUCACUGGGCGUAAAGCGCACGUAGGCGGCUUCUUAAGUCAGGGGUGAAAUCCUGGGGCUCAACCCCAGAACUGCCCUUGAUACUGAGGAGCUUGAGUCUGGGAGAGGUGAGUGGAACUCCGGGUGUAGAGGUGAAAUUCGUAGAUAUUCGGAAGAACACCAGUGGCGAAGGCGGCCCACUGGCCGGGUACUGACGCUGAGACGCGAAAGCGUGGGGAGCAAACAGG
This 253-nucleotide ribosomal RNA is filed under the name uncultured bacterium. Its description in RNAcentral is "partial 16S ribosomal RNA". It matches the Rfam family "Bacterial small subunit ribosomal RNA", at positions 524 to 776 of the family's 1533-position model. The record is from RNAcentral.